GAGGCCCUAAAUCAAGGCUGACAGCUUGUUGUAGCUGUGGGUUUCAAACAGGAGCCCAAAGAACUCUCUUCCUAUGGUCUGUUGGCUGUGCCAUUUCGCUUAAGGGCCCAACCAAUUCAGUUGGAAGGAACAAUU
Small nucleolar RNA from Spea bombifrons (plains spadefoot toad), 135 nucleotides. Lineage: Eukaryota; Metazoa; Chordata; Amphibia; Anura; Pelobatidae. The record is from RefSeq and is a predicted model, not a curated record.